RNAcentral lists this ribosomal RNA (655 nucleotides) under uncultured bacterium. Its description in RNAcentral is "bacterial SSU rRNA". It matches the Rfam family "Bacterial small subunit ribosomal RNA", at positions 83 to 749 of the family's 1533-position model. The record is from RNAcentral.
ACUUGUACCCUAGCGGCGAACGGGUGAGUAACACGUAGGUAAUCUACCCUUAAGACGAGGAUACCGUUUGGAAACGAACGUUAAAACUGGAUAGGAUAGUAAGACAAAAGUUUAACUAUUUAAAAGAGCAAUCUACUUAAGGAGGAGCCUGCGGCGCAUUAGCUAGUUGGUGAGGUAAUGGCCCACCAAGGCGAUGAUGCGUAGCCGGUCUGAGAGGACGAACGGCCACAUUGGGACUGAGACACGGCCCAGACUCCUACGGGAGGCAGCAGUAGGGAAUUUUCGGCAAUGGACGGAAGUCUGACCGAGCAACGCCGCGUGAAUGAUGAAGUAUUUCGGUAUGUAAAGUUCUUUUAUUUGGGAAGAAAAAACAAAUUGACGGUACCAAAUGAAUAAGCCCCGGCUAACUACGUGCCAGCAGCCGCGGUAAUACGUAGGGGGCAAGCGUUAUCCGGAAUUAUUGGGCGUAAAGGGUGCGUAGGCGGGUUAUCAAGUCUUUGGUUAAAAUGCGGUGCUCAACGCCGUAGUGCCAAAGAAACUGAUAGUCUAGAGUAUGGUAGAAGUGAGUGGAACUCCAUGUGUAGCGGUAAAAUGCGUAAAUAUAUGGAAGAACACCAGUGGCGAAGGCGGCUCACUAGGCCAAUACUGACGCUGA